Molecule: non-coding RNA, 28 nt
Filed under: Cricetulus griseus (Chinese hamster)
Lineage: Eukaryota; Metazoa; Chordata; Mammalia; Rodentia; Cricetidae
Source: RNAcentral
GUGUGGAGAUAUUUGAAGAAGAUGGGUG